CCAAUAGCGUAUAUUAAAGUUGUUGCAGUUAAAAAGCUCGUAGUUGAAUUUCGGGGUCAGCAGGUUGGUCGUGCCUUUGGUACGCACUGGUUUCGCUGAUUCCUCCUUUCUGAAGAACUGUAAUGUCAUUAAUUUGGUGUUGCAGGGAAACAGGACUGUUACUUUGAAAAAAUUAGAGUGUUUAAAGCAAGCUAACGCUUGAAUACAUUAGCAUGGAAUAAUGAAAUAGGACGUUUGAUCCUAUUUUGUUGGUUUCUAGGAUUGACGUAAUGAUUAAUAGGGAUAGUUGGGGGCAUUAGUAUUCAAUUGUCAGAGGUGAAAUUCUUGGAUUUAUUGAAGACUAACUACUGCGAAAGCAUUUGCCAAGGAUGUUUUCAUUAAUCAAGAACGAAAGUUAGGGGAUCGAAGACGAUCAGAUACCGUCGUAGUCUUAACCAUAAACUAUGCCGACUAGGGAUCGGAUGAUGUUAAUUUUUUAAUGACUCAUUCGGCGCCUUACG
This 500-nucleotide ribosomal RNA is filed under the name uncultured Glomeromycotina. Its description in RNAcentral is "partial small subunit ribosomal RNA". It matches the Rfam family "Eukaryotic small subunit ribosomal RNA", at positions 591 to 1092 of the family's 1831-position model. Lineage: Eukaryota; Fungi; Glomeromycota. The record is from RNAcentral.